RNAcentral lists this ribosomal RNA (340 nucleotides) under uncultured Polymyxa. RNAcentral describes it as "SSU rRNA". The stretch from base 124 to 340 matches the Rfam family "Eukaryotic small subunit ribosomal RNA", at positions 744 to 955 of the family's 1831-position model. The record is from RNAcentral. Lineage: Eukaryota; Endomyxa; Phytomyxea; Plasmodiophorida; Plasmodiophoridae.
GACUUGUGUGCGCCGGAUGCGGCGAUCUGCGGCCAAAAGGUCGUUGCGAUCAGCCCAUCCUGGCGCCGUAAAAUUUGCAACUGGGUCGCCGCUGGCCUUAAUUGAUCGGUGGCGUCUGCUCGGUUGCUCGUUUACUGUGAGAAAAUUGGAGUGUUCAAGGCAGGCGUGGAUUGCAACUGAACAUGUUAGCAUGGAAUAAUAAGAUAGGGCUCCGGCUCAUAUUUUGUUGGUUUCUAGAGCGUGGGAGUAAUGAUUGAUAGGGACAGUUGGGGGUGCUAGUAUUCAGUGGCCAGAGGUGAAAUUCUUGGAUUCACUGAAGACUAACUACUGCGAAAGCAUU